AAGGGGAGUGCCAGAUCCUGGGCUGUGUCCCCCGGCGCCUCGGGCUCCAAGGCCUGCGCUGCUGGAAUCCUGCCCCCGGGCCGCACAGCCCCCU
Molecule: microRNA precursor, 94 nt
Filed under: Canis lupus familiaris (dog)
Lineage: Eukaryota; Metazoa; Chordata; Mammalia; Carnivora; Canidae
Also listed under: 1 other name
Description: mir-8799 microRNA precursor family
Rfam family: mir-8799 microRNA precursor family
Source: Rfam by way of RNAcentral